This is a long non-coding RNA of Lotus japonicus, 547 nucleotides long. RefSeq lists it as uncharacterized. The transcript has 2 exons. NCBI's taxonomy places the organism in Eukaryota, Viridiplantae, Streptophyta, Magnoliopsida, Fabales, Fabaceae. The record is from RefSeq and is a predicted model, not a curated record.
AGUCCUUUUUUUCAUAAAACUUGGCCCAUAGAAAAUAAUAUGGGCUAGCUUAUUGGGUCACAUAAAUUAUGAUUUCAUUUUUUUGAGUCCAAAAUUAAAUUGCUUUCAUUUGGGAGAAAGAGAAACCUGAAAGGGGAAGAAGAAGAAGAAGAAGAUGAUCCAUCGCAAGUGGAGUCUCCUUACAGGCCCGGUCACCAUCCUCGGCGGCGUAGUCGCGGCCAUUGCCGCCGCUAAUUUAAUCUUCGUUAAGAAUGAUCCAUUCACUAAACCACAACAGCUGAAGUUUGAAAAUCAACCCGCAACCAAGUAGGAGAAAAGAUGUAACAGUAGUUUGCAUUUUUAUGUCAUCCAAACUUUGAUUUAUGAGCACUGUUUGCUAUACAUGCUCUCUAGUUAAUAAUACUGAGACCUUGGAUGAUGUAUGGACUCUGGAGCAAUGAACCUUAUAUUAGAACUAACCUAAAGUUCUAGAAAACUGGUUCACAUUUCAGAGAUCCUUGCUUCUCUUUUCUGUACAAUGUCAAGAAAUGUGUAUUGUGGUUUCUAA